CAAGUCGAACGCACUCUCGUUUAGAUAGAAGGAGCUUGCUCCUGAUUGAUAAACAUUUGAGUGAGUGGCGGACGGGUGAGUAACACGUGGGUAACCUGCCCUAAAGUGGGGGAUAACAUUUGGAAACAGAUGCUAAUACCGCAUAAAACCUAACACCGCAUGGUGUAGGGUUGAAAGAUGGUUUCGGCUAUCACUUUAGGAUGGACCCGCGGUGCAUUAGUUAGUUGGUGAGGUAAAGGCUCACCAAGACCGUGAUGCAUAGCCGACCUGAGAGGGUAAUCGGCCACACUGGGACUGAGACACGGCCCAGACUCCUACGGGAGGCAGCAGUAGGGAAUCUUCCACAAUGGACGAAAGUCUGAUGGAGCAACGCCGCGUGAGUGAAGAAGGUUUACGGAUCGUAAAACUCUGUUGUUGGAGAAGAAUGUAUCUGAUAGUAACUGAUCAGGUAGUGACGGUAUCCAACCAGAAAGCCACGGCUAACUACGUGCCAGCAGCCCGCGGUAAUACGUAGGUGGCAAGCGUUGUCCGGAUUUAUUGGGCGUAAAGCGAGCGCAGGCGGUUUCUUAAGUCUGAUGUGAAAGCCUUCGGCUCAA
This 596-nucleotide ribosomal RNA is filed under the name uncultured Bacilli bacterium. Its description in RNAcentral is "bacterial SSU rRNA". It matches the Rfam family "Bacterial small subunit ribosomal RNA", at positions 58 to 612 of the family's 1533-position model. The record is from RNAcentral. Lineage: Bacteria; Bacillati; Bacillota; Bacilli.